GACGAACGCUGGCGGCGUGCCUAAUACAUGCAAGUUGAGCGCUGAAGGUUGGUACUUGUACCAACUGGAUGAGCAGCGAACGGGUGAGUAACGCGUGGGGAAUCUGCCUUUGAGCGGGGGACAACAUUUGGAAACGAAUGCUAAUACCGCAUAAAAACUUUAAACACAAGUUUUAAGUUUGAAAGAUGCAAUUGCAUCACUCAAAGAUGAUCCCGCGUUGUAUUAGCUAGUUGGUGAGGUAAAGGCUCACCAAGGCGAUGAUACAUAGCCGACCUGAGAGGGUGAUCGGCCACAUUGGGACGGAGACACGGCCCAAACUCCUACGGGAGGCAGCAGUAGGGAAUCUUAGGCAAUAGACGAAAGUCUGACCGAGCAACGCCGCGUGAGUGAAGAAGGGUUUCGGAUCGUAAAACUCUGUUGGUAGAGAAGAACGUUGGUGAGAGUGGAAAGCUCAUCAAGUGACGGUAACUACACAGAAAGGGACGGCUAACUACGUG
This 497-nucleotide ribosomal RNA is filed under the name uncultured bacterium. RNAcentral's name for it is "partial 16S ribosomal RNA". It matches the Rfam family "Bacterial small subunit ribosomal RNA", at positions 28 to 507 of the family's 1533-position model. The record is from RNAcentral.